RNAcentral lists this ribosomal RNA (853 nucleotides) under uncultured bacterium. RNAcentral's name for it is "bacterial SSU rRNA". It matches the Rfam family "Bacterial small subunit ribosomal RNA", at positions 26 to 898 of the family's 1533-position model. The record is from RNAcentral.
AGGAUAAACGCUAGCGGUGUGCAUUAUGCAUGCAAGUCGAACGGUUUAUCGAAAGAUAAGCAGUGGCAAACGGCUGAGUAACACGUAAGUAAUCCAUCCCAAAGUGGGGAAUAAUCCGCCGAAAGGCGGGCUAAUGUCCCAUAAGACCACAGGGAGGCAUCUUCCAGGGGUCAAAGCCGCAAGGGGCGCUUGAGGAGGAGCCUGAGUCCUAUCAGGUAGUUGGUGGGGUAACGGCUCACCAAGCCUUCGACGGGUAGCUGGUCUGAGAGGAUGUCCAGCCAGACGGGGACUGAGACACGGCCCCGACUCCUACGGGAGGCAGCAGCAGGGAAUUUUGCGCAAUGGGCGAAAGCCUGACGCAGCAACACCGCGUGAGGGAAGAAGGCCUUCGGGUUGUAAACCUCUUUUAUCAGGGAAGAAUAAUGACGGUACCUGGUGAAUAAGUCACGGCUAACUACGUGCCAGCAGCUGCGGUAAUACGUAGGUGGCGAGCGUUAUCCGGAUUCAUUGGGCGUAAAGAGCGCGUAGGUGGUCCUUCAAGUCAGAUGUUAAAUCUCCCGGCUUAACUGGGAGCUGUCAUCUGAUACUGCUGGACUUGAGGGUGGUAGAGGGAGGUGGAAUUCCCGGUGUAGUGGUGAAAUGCGUAGAUAUCGGGAGGAACACCAGUGGCGAAAGCGGCCUCCUAGGCCAUUCCUGACACUGAGGCGCGAAAGCGUGGGGAGCGAACAGGAUCAGAUACCCUGGUAGUCCUAGCCGUAAACGGUGCAUGUUUGCUGUAAAAGGAAUCGACCCCUUUUGUGGCGUAGCCAACGCGUUAAACAUGCCGCCUGGGAAGUACGGUCGCAAGAUUAAA